This 83-nucleotide small RNA is filed under the name Ruminiclostridium cellobioparum subsp. termitidis CT1112. Its description in RNAcentral is "[Clostridium] termitidis CT1112 Clostridiales-2 RNA". It matches the Rfam family "Clostridiales-2 RNA". The record is from Rfam by way of RNAcentral. Lineage: Bacteria; Bacillati; Bacillota; Clostridia; Eubacteriales; Oscillospiraceae.
UAUAUGCGGGGUUUGAAAAGGGGAAUCCCCUUUCCGGUUUAGAGGGGGUGCUCAGAAACACGAAGUGUUUCGUCGAAGGGGGC